GGGUUGUGAGGUUAAGCGACUAAGCGUACACGGUGGAUGCCCUGGCAGUCAGAGGCGAUGAAGGACGUGCUAAUCUGCGAUAAGCGCCGGUAAGGUGAUAUGAACCGUUAUAACCGGCGAUUUCCGAAUGGGGAAACCCAGUGUGAUUCGUCACACUAUCAUUAACUGAAUCCAUAGGUUAAUGAGGCGAACCGGGGGAACUGAAACAUCUAAGUACCCCGAGGAAAAGAAAUCAACCGAGAUUCCCCCAGUAGCGGCGAGCGAACGGGGAGGAGCCCAGAGCCUGAAUCAGCAUGUGUGUUAGUGGAAGCGUCUGGAAAGGUGCGCGAUACAGGGUGACAGCCCCGUACACAAAAGCGCAUGUGCUGUGAGCUCGAUGAGUAGGGCGGGACACGUGGUAUCCUGUCUGAAUAUGGGGGGACCAUCCUCCAAGGCUAAAUACUCCUGACUGACCGAUAGUGAACCAGUACCGUGAGGGAAAGGCGAAAAGAACCCCGGCGAGGGGAGUGAAAAAGAACCUGAAACCGUGUACGUACAAGCAGUGGGAGCACCCUUCGGGGUGUGACUGCGUACCUUUUGUAUAAUGGGUCAGCGACUUAUAUUCUGUAGCAAGGUUAACCGUAUAGGGGAGCCGGAGGGAAACCGAGUCUUAACCGGGCGUUAAGUUGCAGGGUAUAGACCCGAAACCCGGUGAUCUAGCCAUGGGCAGGUUGAAGGUUGGGUAACACUAACUGGAGGACCGAACCGACUAAUGUUGAAAAAUUAGCGGAUGACCUGUGGCUGGGGGUGAAAGGCCAAUCAAACCGGGAGAUAGCUGGUUCUCCCCGAAAGCUAUUUAGGUAGCGCCUCGUGAAUUCAUCUCCGGGGGUAGAGCACUGUUUCGGCUAGGGGGCCAUCCCGGCUUACCAACCCGAUGCAAACUGCGAAUACCGGAGAAUGUUAUCACGGGAGACACACGGCGGGUGCUAACGUCCGUCGUGAAGAGGGAAACAACCCAGACCGCCAGCUAAGGUCCCAAAGUCAUGGUUAAGUGGGAAACGAUGUGGGAAGGCCCAGACAGCCAGGAUGUUGGCUUAGAAGCAGCCAUCAUUUAAAGAAAGCGUAAUAGCUCACUGGUCGAGUCGGCCUGCGCGGAAGAUGUAACGGGGCUAAACCAUGCACCGAAGCUGCGGCAGCGAACGUAUCACCCAAGACAACUUUACGGAGUUGACGAUUGACGGAGCGAAGCGACGUCAAAGCGUUCAUUAAAGUCGAGUUGGCUUAGGGAUACGUUCGUUGGGUAGGGGAGCGUUCUGUAAGCCUGUGAAGGUGUGUCGUGAGGCAUGCUGGAGGUAUCAGAAGUGCGAAUGCUGACAUAAGUAACGAUAAAGCGGGUGAAAAGCCCGCUCGCCGGAAGACCAAGGGUUCCUGUCCAACGUUAAUCGGGGCAGGGUGAGUCGACCCCUAAGGCGAGGCCGAAAGGCGUAGUCGAUGGGAAACGGGUUAAUAUUCCCGUACUUGGUGUUACUGCGAAGGGGGGACGGAGAAGGCUAUGUUGGCCGGGCGACGGUUGUCCCGGUUUAAGCGUGUAGGUGUGUGUUCCAGGUAAAUCCGGUUCACUUUAACACUGAGGCGUGACGACGAGGCACUACGGUGCUGAAGCAACAAAUGCCCUGCUUCCAGGAAAAGCCUCUAAGCAUCAGGUAACACGAAAUCGUACCCCAAACCGACACAGGUGGUCAGGUAGAGAAUACCAAGGCGCUUGAGAGAACUCGGGUGAAGGAACUAGGCAAAAUGGUGCCGUAACUUCGGGAGAAGGCACGCUGACACGUAGGUGAAGUGAUUUACUCAUGGAGCUGAAGUCAGUCGAAGAUACCAGCUGGCUGCAACUGUUUAUUAAAAACACAGCACUGUGCAAACACGAAAGUGGACGUAUACGGUGUGACGCCUGCCCGGUGCCGGAAGGUUAAUUGAUGGGGUCAGCGCAAGCGAAGCUCCUGAUCGAAGCCCCGGUAAACGGCGGCCGUAACUAUAACGGUCCUAAGGUAGCGAAAUUCCUUGUCGGGUAAGUUCCGACCUGCACGAAUGGCGUAAUGAUGGCCAGGCUGUCUCCACCCGAGACUCAGUGAAAUUGAACUCGCUGUGAAGAUGCAGUGUACCCGCGGCAAGACGGAAAGACCCCGUGAACCUUUACUAUAGCUUGACACUGAACAUUGAGCCUUGAUGUGUAGGAUAGGUGGGAGGCUUUGAAGUGUGGACGCCAGUCUGCAUGGAGCCGACCUUGAAAUACCACCCUUUAAUGUUUGAUGUUCUAACGUGGACCCGUAAUCCGGGUUGCGGACAGUGUCUGGUGGGUAGUUUGACUGGGGCGGUCUCCUCCUAAAGAGUAACGGAGGAGCACGAAGGUUGGCUAAUCCUGGUCGGACAUCAGGAGGUUAGUGCAAUGGCAUAAGCCAGCUUGACUGCGAGCGUGACGGCGCGAGCAGGUGCGAAAGCAGGUCAUAGUGAUCCGGUGGUUCUGAAUGGAAGGGCCAUCGCUCAACGGAUAAAAGGUACUCCGGGGAUAACAGGCUGAUACCGCCCAAGAGUUCAUAUCGACGGCGGUGUUUGGCACCUCGAUGUCGGCUCAUCACAUCCUGGGGCUGAAGUAGGUCCCAAGGGUAUGGCUGUUCGCCAUUUAAAGUGGUACGCGAGCUGGGUUUAGAACGUCGUGAGACAGUUCGGUCCCUAUCUGCCGUGGGCGCUGGAGAACUGAGGGGGGCUGCUCCUAGUACGAGAGGACCGGAGUGGACGCAUCACUGGUGUUCGGGUUGUCAUGCCAAUGGCACUGCCCGGUAGCUAAAUGCGGAAGAGAUAAGUGCUGAAAGCAUCUAAGCACGAAACUUGCCCCGAGAUGAGUUCUCCCUGAGACUUAGAGUCUCCUGAAGGAACGUUGAAGACGACGACGUUGAUAGGCCGGGUGUGUAAGC
RNAcentral lists this ribosomal RNA (2948 nucleotides) under Salmonella enterica subsp. enterica serovar Typhimurium. Its description in RNAcentral is "partial 23S ribosomal RNA". It matches the Rfam family "Bacterial large subunit ribosomal RNA". Lineage: Bacteria; Pseudomonadati; Pseudomonadota; Gammaproteobacteria; Enterobacterales; Enterobacteriaceae. The record is from RNAcentral.